This 253-nucleotide ribosomal RNA is filed under the name uncultured bacterium. RNAcentral's name for it is "partial 16S ribosomal RNA". It matches the Rfam family "Bacterial small subunit ribosomal RNA", at positions 524 to 776 of the family's 1533-position model. The record is from RNAcentral.
GACGAACCGUGCGAACGUUGUUCGGAAUCACUGGGCUUAAAGGGCGCGUAGGUGGUCUGUCAAGUCAAGGGUGAAAUCUUUCGGCUCAACCGGAAAACUGCCUUCGAUACUGGCAGGCUAGAGGGAGAUAGGGGUUGCGGGAACUACCAGUGGAGCGGUGAAAUGCGUUGAUAUUGGUAGGAACGCCGGUGGCGAAAGCGCGCAACUGGACCUCUUCUGACACUGAGGCGCGAAAGCUAGGGGAGCAAACGGG